This 24-nucleotide non-coding RNA is filed under the name Arabidopsis thaliana (thale cress). The record is from RNAcentral. Lineage: Eukaryota; Viridiplantae; Streptophyta; Magnoliopsida; Brassicales; Brassicaceae.
GGGUCUAGAUCCGUCACUGGCUAU